UACGUAGGUGGCGAGUGUUAUUCGGAUUUACUGGGCGUAAAGGGUUCGUAGGGGGUAUGUUAAGUCUGAUGUGAAAGCCCGUGGCUCAACCACGGAAAGUCAUUGGAUACUGACAAACUUUGAGGGUUGGAGAGGAGAGUGGAAUACCAGGUGUAACGGUGGAAUGUGUAGAUAUCUGGUAGAACACCGAUGGCGAAGGC
RNAcentral lists this ribosomal RNA (200 nucleotides) under uncultured bacterium. Its description in RNAcentral is "partial 16S ribosomal RNA". It matches the Rfam family "Bacterial small subunit ribosomal RNA", at positions 524 to 722 of the family's 1533-position model. The record is from RNAcentral.